GAAACCGGAGCUAAUACCGGAUAAUAUAUUGAACCGCAUGGUUCAAUAGUGAAAGACGGUUUUGCUGUCACUUAUAGAUGGAUCCGCGCCGCAUUAGCUAGUUGGUAAGGUAACGGCUUACCAAGGCACGAUGCGUAGCCGACCUGAGAGGGUGAUCGGCCACACUGGAACUGAGACACGGUCCAG
Molecule: ribosomal RNA, 186 nt
Filed under: uncultured Staphylococcus sp.
Lineage: Bacteria; Bacillati; Bacillota; Bacilli; Caryophanales; Staphylococcaceae
Description: partial 16S ribosomal RNA
Rfam family: Bacterial small subunit ribosomal RNA
Source: RNAcentral